UACAGAGGGGGCAAGCGUUGUUCGGAAUUACUGGGCGUAAAGGGCGCGUAGGCGGCCUGCUAAGUCGAACGUGAAAUCCCCGAGCUCAACUCGGGAACUGCGUCCGAUACUGACAGGCUUGAAUCCGGGAGAGGGAUGCGGAAUUCCAGGUGUAGCGGUGAAAUGCGUAGAUAUCUGGAGGAACACCGGUGGCGAAGGCGGGUCUCUGGGCCGAAACUGACGCUGAGGAGCGAAAGCUAGGGGAGCAAACAGG
Molecule: ribosomal RNA, 253 nt
Filed under: uncultured bacterium
Lineage: Bacteria
Description: partial 16S ribosomal RNA
Rfam family: Bacterial small subunit ribosomal RNA
Source: RNAcentral